RNAcentral lists this transfer RNA (73 nucleotides) under Crenadactylus ocellatus. RNAcentral describes it as "tRNA-Asn". The record is from RNAcentral. Lineage: Eukaryota; Metazoa; Chordata; Lepidosauria; Squamata; Diplodactylidae.
UAGACUAAAGCCCGCUGGUUUGGGUAUUUGUUUGUUAACUAAAGGUUUACGGGAUCGAGGCCCGUUAGUCUAG